Molecule: unclassified non-coding RNA, 380 nt
Filed under: soil metagenome
Description: partial contains 5.8S ribosomal RNA, internal transcribed spacer 2, and large subunit ribosomal RNA
Rfam family: 5.8S ribosomal RNA (bases 1-120)
Source: RNAcentral
GAUGAAGAACGCAGCGAAAUGCGAUAAGUAAUGUGAAUUGCAGAAUUCAGUGAAUCAUCGAAUCUUUGAACGCACCUUGCACCCUUUGGCAUUCUGAAGGGUAUGCUCGUUUGAGUGUCAUUGUACUCUCACACUCCCGAUCUUUGCAUUGGGAGCAGUGGACUUGGGUUUGCUGCUUCACCGUCGCUUACCUCAAAUAGGUUAGUGCAACUCUUGGUUGGACAUAGUACGGCGUGAUAAGUGUUCUUCGCCGGUGCCUCGCAAAGAGGGUGGCCGAUCGGGAUGUUGUGCUCCAAACCGUCUUCGGACAAUCUCUGACGACUUGACCUCAAAUCGAGUAAGACUACCCGUUGAACUUAAGCAUAUCAAUAAGCGGAGGA